AGGAAACAAUCUGGUUAAGCAGAGGACCCGGCCAUUUAUUGGUGGGUUCUGGCGCUUUCAAGAAUGUGAAGAAUGAGUGGCCAAAGUUAACAAAGGAGCAUGCACAGGGAUGGGGGUCACACCCACUUUGUAGAGUUUAAGAAUAGUAAGGGACCUACGGGAACUUCUCAAGGUAAUAGGUGGCAUGUCUUCUUUCCUUGGCAUGACACAGAAUGUAAAGAUAAUGGGAGGAUGAACCUCCAAGCCUGGAACUUUGGGAGAAGCUUCUCCUCUUGGAAGUGCCAGUAGCAGAAAAGUUCCCAAAUAGAACAGAUUCCUUCAUUCCACCUGAAUUCAGAGAGAGAUCCAUGUGGACACAUGUGCCUCUCCAUCAGAGACUGCUAUCCAGACAUUCAUCUUCCACCUAAAAAUGCACUUCUGCUGUUGACUGCAGGCCAAUGUUCCCAGGAUAAACAGGGUGACAUCCAACUGUUACUUGCCUCAACUUGCCUUUGGGGAUCAAGAAGGAAGUUCCCCCGGGUGGGUGGUAGAACUGGAAGUAGUGUCACAGGCCAUGGGCUCUUUUGCAUUUCUCUUACUGUCUCUCACUUGGCCUGAAUGAUUUAUCACACGAUCAGUUGCAACUGCCAAAGUUUGGGAGCACUACAUUGAUGUGAAGUUCUGGAGACAAAAAGGAACACAAACAGAUAAAGGUAGAGAAGACAAAAGGGUGAAAGAGAGGGCUAACGACUGGGAGAAAGAGAGCAGA
This 748-nucleotide long non-coding RNA is filed under the name Homo sapiens (human). RNAcentral describes it as "HSALNT0285580". Lineage: Eukaryota; Metazoa; Chordata; Mammalia; Primates; Hominidae. The record is from RNAcentral.